Molecule: long non-coding RNA, 3900 nt
Filed under: Callithrix jacchus (white-tufted-ear marmoset)
Lineage: Eukaryota; Metazoa; Chordata; Mammalia; Primates; Cebidae
Description: lncRNA (ENSCJAG00000055183.2)
Source: RNAcentral
GGUGUUGUAUCUGAAGCUCUUUGGUUCUAUUUGUUUAACAAAUAUUAAUUGAGGACUUUCUAUGUGCCAAGCCCUGUUCUAGGCAUAGGAGACACAGCACUCACUUAGAAGACACAAUUUCAUGGGACUUUCAUUCUAUUUACUGCGUGUGGAGAAACAUCUCAGACUGACCUAGACAGAAGAGGACACGUGCAAGCUUAUAUGACUGAGACAACAAAGGGUACUCUUCAGGCAUGCUGGGAACCAGGAGCUAAGGGAAGUCUUCCACUUUUUUCUCUUAGGGUCUCUCAGUUCUGUUUCUCUCUUUUUUUUUUCUUUUCUUUCCUUCAUCAUCAGGCAGGCUAUUCCUGUGCAGUGACAAAAUGGAUGCCAGCAGCUCCAGGCUUAUGUUAACAAGCUGAGAGAGAGUCUUCCUUGCUGAAUGGGUCCAGCAAAAACCCCAAACUUAAUUCUCAUUGGCUGGAUUUGGUCACAUGGGCAUAUCCCUGAUCACAUGACUAAGGCCAGGAGACUGAGACAUUCUGAUUGGCUGGGCCUGGGGCACACACUCAGUCCUGCCCCAGCAAAUGGGGUCAUCACCAGGAGAACCAUAGGGAUUGAGAAUAGUCGUUUCUCAAGGAGCUCUCAUAAUCCUGGAGGAAAUCUGCCUCAUGCUGGAGUGGGCAGGAAGGGAAGAGCGCAGGAAAGGAAGAGCACAGGAAGGAGGGAGGCAGACGCUGCUGGGAGUUCCUGCUUCUCCAGUCUUGAGACUAAGACCCAGUUUCAGGCCUAUCAAUUAGUGUCAAGGGGAAAGGCUUCCUUGCAAUGAGGAGUGGGCACAUGUUCCAGUUCUGUCCAAAGAGAACUAAGCAGAGGUCUCUGGAGGAGACCUGUGUAAAAGCACUGCUGUUCUAAAAGAAGGGGACAGCAUGGCUGGGCCCUGUCCUUCCUACUUCCUGCCUGAAGUGUGGAUAUACUCUCUGGAGCCCACCCACGUAUCUGCUUUCAGAGCCAUCUCCUGCCAAGAAACGGAAAAACAGAGGGUCAAGAGUUCAGUCUGGAUAGGCUAACUGGGGUCCAAGAGCAGGGGAAGGUCCACCCUGGGCACCUGUCCAGAGGAUGGGCUGCUUCUCACCUAGACCAGAGGAACCACUUGUCACCUGGGCUGGACUGAGGAAGGGUUGUCCUCUCCCAAGAACUUGUUGGAUAACUCCUGUCUGCUGGCUCCAACACUCAAUCUGGAGGGCUGGAAGAUGAACGGUCUCUACUAUGGAAUCCUGGUGGCCAACUCUUCACCGUGUCUUCUGGGUUUCCCUUUGUAUCCAGCUCCUCCUAUUGUAACUGAAAGAUAGUUGAUAAUCAAAAUAAUCUUGGAUGGUUGGAUGGAUUGAUAAGAGAGGGAUGGAUGGAUGGAUGGACAGACGAAUGGAAAAUACAGUUAUUAAGAGGCUAUCUUCCAUACACAUUAGCUGACAGAAACCCCGUGAGGUCACAGGCUAGGUGUUAUUAUGCCCAUUUAACAGAGAAGAAAGCCAAGGUUCUGUAAAGUUAAUUGACUUUCCCAAGGUCACAAGACUUGGAGGAGGUGAAGCUGGGACCCAAAUCAACACUGCUUCAAAACCCUGGGCACAGGCCCCUCCUGCCUCACCUCCCUGGACAUCACCUCCAGUCCAUACUAGGCCCAAUAUAUAGGGACAGAGGCAAAGAACCUGCCAUCAUCUCAGCACAUCACGAAAGGAACUUUCAUGAUACGGGUCUGGAAAGCUGCCAGGAGCAGCCUCUCAUCCACAUCCCCCAGUUCUGCUGUUGGGACCGCCAAGAACACGUCACUUCCUUAACAGGUUCUCAGUACGUAUUUGUAGAAUGAAUGAGUUGCCUUGUAUUGGUACAAAUUCCUCAAGAAAAAGUCAUAGGCUACAAAAUCCCGGAAAAGCAGGUAAGAGUGACAUGUUUCUUAGCUUUGCAAGAGACGGCAGUGUGCAUUCUAGUGGCCAAAUGAGCCUCCUGACAUGGUAUACAGCCCAUGAUACUCAUCACCACCAUCAUCAAAGAUCAGUUACCGUGCACGCUUGCUGCAUGCCACUCACUAUGCCAGGCAUGCUAUGUGAAUGGUCUCAUUUAAACUUCACAACCAACCCAGUGAUCUGGAUAGUACUGCUAUCUUCAUUUUAUGGUUGAGGAAUUGAAGGUUGAGAGGUUAAGUAACUUGAUCAGAGCCACACAGCCAGGGGUAUCAGAGUCAGGUAUAAACCCAGGGUUUAUUUGUUUAUUUGUUUUUGUUUUUGUUUUGUUUUUGCCUCCAAUAAGAGAGGAGGUGGCAGGGAAGACUUGUGUGGGAUGGCUCGUGGGGGACAAAUGCCCCCUCUGUAAUCUGUGUGGAGGGUGGUCCAGUCUGAGAGCUGACAGGGGAAGAGAGAGGUGCUGCCCAGGGAAGCAGGAGUGGGUGGGGACAUCUCCUUUGGGCAGGCCUUUCCUUGUCCCGUGCCAGGCUCAGCCCCAGCGUGCUCACCCAGCAGCCCUGGCUGUUUGUGUGUUUUGGGGGGUGGGGUAGGAGCAGUAGAUUAGGAGGGGCAGGGCUAGGCUGACUGGGUUGUGAUUCCCAUGGAGACGUUGGUGAUUCAUUGCCCCUUCCAGCCAGUGGGGCCUCUGUCAGGAUGUGACUUGUAUGAAACAGGUCACAAGAUGCCAUCCAGGAAAGACGGAAAUGGGGAGGGGAGGGUGGGGUCUCAUCCUGAGCCUGGGCACCCUGGGCUCCGUAAAGCGCCUACCUGAGGCCCAUCUCCACGCCACAGUGAAAAACCUUUCUUUGCCUGGGGUGAAGCACAUUGGAAAGGGUCAAUGCUGAACCCUUCUGAAGUCUUUUUCCUGGAAGGUUCCAGGACCUCCGUUGCCCUGGCCCAGAGGUGCCGUGACUCUAGCCUGGGUGGUGAGUCCUGGUGCUCAGAGAAUACCUCUUCCAGGAUUUCUGAGAGGUAUGCAUAGAUAAGUCAACCUAAGGAGUUUAGAAGAGCUGGGCUGGGAAAAAGAAAAAGCGAAAUCAACCUGCACACCAUUAAUUGGCACGUACUCUAAGUCCAGCAGGACCCAAUGGCUGACUUGGAACAGGUGCUCAAUAAAGGUGUGUUGCCCGACUGAGUAACUGAAAGGGCUCAUAACUCCAGGCCAGAGGAGAAAACAGAGGAGGUACAUCCCAGGCUUCAAAGAAUCCAAACCUCACUCACAGUAAUAACACAAUUCACAGAACAAUCAACUGUUAAAUUGCGAGACUCUCCCUAGGUGCUCUAGGAAAUUUAAAUGAGGGCUGGGACCUUAGGAAGACUUCCUGGAGGAGGUGGACUCAAGUUGGCUGAGUGGGGAGACUGGAGGUAGGUCGGAGUGUGAAGAGGGUUCAAGGUGAACAUAGUGAGGAAUGAGGCGAUCGUGUGAUCCUCUGGAGUGGGAAGGCUUUUAAAGAUCCUGCCUGAGGCCCAUAGGCCUGUGCCACGGUUACAGGGCUUGGUUGUGGAGGUCUACCACGUUUUGGAAACUCAGUAAGGACAGGUAUGUCCACUAUUGUCCCAUUUCAUGGGUGAAGAAACUGAAGAUCUAACAGGCUCAGUAAAUUACCUGAAGCCACAUGGAUGCAAAGGGGAAGAAAAACUCGACCUGCGCUCUUCCACCUGUGGGCCAUUAGCCGCAUGCGCCUGUUGGGAGCUUGAAAUUAUCCAGUCCCAACUGAGCUGAGCUGUAUGUGUAAACAACACACCAGAUUUCAGACUUAGUAAGAAACAAACAAAACAUACAUAAAACAUCUAAUUUGUAGCUCUUUUUAGUACUUGUUACAUGUUGAAAUAUUUUAGAUAUAUUGGAUGAAAUAAAAUAUUAUUAAAAUUACAGUUAACCUUUGAACAACACGGUUUGAAUUGAGAGCGUCAUUUAUAC